This 510-nucleotide ribosomal RNA is filed under the name Zygogramma bigenea. RNAcentral's name for it is "partial 16S ribosomal RNA". The stretch from base 383 to 510 matches the Rfam family "Archaeal large subunit ribosomal RNA", at positions 2544 to 2671 of the family's 2987-position model. The record is from RNAcentral. Lineage: Eukaryota; Metazoa; Arthropoda; Insecta; Coleoptera; Chrysomelidae.
GUYUUUUUGAUAAAAAUUUAAAGUCGGGCCUGCCCACUGAAAAUUUAAAUGGCCGUGGUAUUUUGACCGUGCUAAGGUAGCAUAAUCAUUAGUUUUUUAAUUGAAAGCUGGAAUGAAAGGUUUGAUAAAAAAAUGACUGUCUCUAUUUAAUUUCAUUAAAAUUUUAUUUUUAAGUUCAAAAGCUUAAGUUAAAUUAAAAGACGAGAAGACCCUAUAGAGUUUUAUAAUUUAAGAUAAUUUAUAUUUUAGAAUUAAUUUAUUUAUUUUUUAAUAUUAUUUAAUUGGGGUGAUUAAAAAAUUUAUUUAACUUUUUUUAUAUUAAACCAUUAAUUUAUGAUAAUUUGAUCCAAUUUUUUUGAUUAUAAGAUAAAAUUACCUUAGGGAUAACAGCGUAAUUUUUUUAGAAAGUUCAAAUUAAAAGAAAAGAUUGCGACCUCGAUGUUGGAUUAAAAUUAAAUUUUGGUGUAGAAGCUAGAAAUUUUAAGUCUGUUCGACUUUUAAAAUUUUACA